Long non-coding RNA from Stylophora pistillata, 308 nucleotides. The record is from RefSeq and is a predicted model, not a curated record. NCBI's taxonomy places the organism in Eukaryota, Metazoa, Cnidaria, Anthozoa, Scleractinia, Pocilloporidae.
GAUUACAAAUCGUCUUUGAAAAAGGCCACUUCUGUGUUGGAUUAUCUGACUCGAGUUAUCAUCACAAAAUGUCCGCACAUCGCCGCUUUGGGAGACGAUCUCAGAUAUGUGGAAAAAGCAUCAAAAGUUCCAUUUCAUUCUCUUGACAAGGAAAUAUGCAAGCUGUCUACAGAAAUUGAGGUCCUUGAAGAAGACGUAGAGAAAAUAAACAACGAUAGUGUAGAGGAAGACUGUUUCAGUACAAGUAUUAGAGUAUCCUUCAAAGCUGAAGAUCAGACGUGGAUGGUCUACUCCAUACAAACAGUGGA